AAAGGAAUUGACGGGGGCCCGCACAAGCGGAGGAACAUGUGGUUUAAUUCGAUGAUACGCGAGGAACCUUACCCGGGCUCGAACGGUGCAGGAAUACAGGAGAGAUUCUGUAGCAUAGCAAUAUGUCUGUAUCGAGGUGCUGCAUGGUUGUCGUCAGCUCGUGCCGUGAGGUGUAGGCUUAAGUGCCAUAACGAGCGCAACCCUUGUCGUCAGUUGCCAGCACGUAGUGGUGGGCACUCUGGCGAGACUGCCGCCGUAAGGUGUGAGGAAGGGGGGGAUGACGUCAAAUCAGCACGGCCCUUACGUCCGGGGCGACACACGUGUUACAAUGGCAGGUACAGAGGGGAGCGAGGCGGCGACGCCGAGCCAAUCUCGAAAGCCUGUCUCAGUUCGGACUGGAGUCUGCAACCCGACUCCACGAAGCUGGAUUCGCUAGUAAUCGCGCAUCAGCCAUGGCGCGGUGAAUACGUUCCCGGGCCUUGUACACACCGCCCGU
This 496-nucleotide ribosomal RNA is filed under the name uncultured bacterium. RNAcentral describes it as "bacterial SSU rRNA". It matches the Rfam family "Bacterial small subunit ribosomal RNA", at positions 903 to 1397 of the family's 1533-position model. The record is from RNAcentral.